Molecule: ribosomal RNA, 440 nt
Filed under: uncultured bacterium
Lineage: Bacteria
Description: partial 16S ribosomal RNA
Rfam family: Bacterial small subunit ribosomal RNA
Source: RNAcentral
CCUACGGGAGGCAGCAGUAGGGAAUAUUGCUCAAUGGGGGAAACCCUGAAGCAGCAACGCCGCGUGGAGGAUGAAGGUUUUCGGAUUGUAAACUCCUUUUGUUAGAGAAGAUAAUGACGGUAUCUAACGAAUAAGCACCGGCUAACUCCGUGCCAGCAGCCGCGGUAAUACGGAGGGUGCAAGCGUUACUCGGAAUCACUGGGCGUAAAGAGCGCGUAGGCGGGAUAGCAAGUCAGAUGUGAAAUCCUAGGGCUUAACCAUAGAACUGCAUUUGAAACUGUUAUUCUAGAGUAUGGGAGAGGUAGGUGGAAUGCUUGGUGUAGCGGUAAAAUCCGUAGAGAUCAAGAGGAAUACUCAUUGCGAAGGCGACCUGCUAGAACAUAACUGACGCUGAUGCGCGAAAGCGUGGGGAGCAAACAGGAUUAGAUACCCCUGUAGUC